This 1150-nucleotide long non-coding RNA is filed under the name Cricetulus griseus (Chinese hamster). RNAcentral's name for it is "lncRNA (ENSCGRG00015041313.1)". Lineage: Eukaryota; Metazoa; Chordata; Mammalia; Rodentia; Cricetidae. The record is from RNAcentral.
CUUCGGCCCGCUCGCCGUCUGCCAAUGGGAUCUGUCAGGGCUCCUGGGCCAGCGGCCUCGGGGGCGGGGCCUCGGAAGCCCGUGGGAAACCGCACUCCGAUUGGAGCUGCGGACAAUCGCUCCGCCUCCGGGCAGCCAAUCGGAGGCGGAGAAUACAGGAGCGGGGCGUUCGGAGUUGGGCUGGAGAGUGACAAGAGGCGCACGCUGGACACCUGAGCGGCGUCCGGCCCCGGGUGGGCGCUGUGGCUGGAGGGAUGCUGGCGAUGCACACUCCCGGGUGCCUUCGCACCAGACCCUGGCGGCGCAACCCGGAGAAACCGCGGCAAGGAUGGCGAGGCGUGCAGGCGCCGGCCACAGCGAGGGAGCCCUUAACAAAGCAGCUUCGGGAGGGCCGGGUGGCCUCCGCCUUCUCCUCCAAUAGGUCCUUGAGGCUGCCUGUCACCGUGCAUAGGUGGAGGUGGCCAAUGACGUCCGCGAAUGAGCUGGAGUUGGCGCGCGCGCGCGGCUCGGCGGCAGUGGGAUUGGUCCGAGUGUGGCUGAUUGAUGAUGGAGUCGGAAGAUAAUGACUUGAAGACCAGCCUGGCUACAAAUAGAACUAUUUCCAAAAGAAAAGGAAAUUGACGCCUUCACUUCCCACCCCCAAACCUGAGUAUCAAUGGCAUCCACGUGAAAUCCACCUGCCCUUACCUCCUGAAAUCGGUCUACCCUGUUCUAAACAGGAAGCUCAGCCUCUCAAUUCUGCCCCAGUGUUGUGUAAGUACCCUGGGUGGCUGACACAUUCCUCCCAGCAGGGAGGCUCCUUAAGGAAAGGAAAACAACUCCAAAGGCUUCAGGAAGUCCAGGAAACUAACCGGAUUGAAUAGGCCAUCCCUGACAUAGUAAGCAAUUAGAGCUGAGAGUCUCUCUGAUGAGCCAAGACUGAGAUGAGACCAGCCCAGCCUCCUGGAAGAGGCAAAAGCCAGCCGAGGUGCCUGGAAAUUAUUUAGACCAACUGAGUCACUAAGAAGACUCUCCACGGUGUGGAGCUGCCUGCAGGCUGGGCAGCGAGCUCCAGCUUUGUGAGCAUCACUCAUGCUGGAGUGGGCUUUGGUGAUGCCGCUGUCUCUGCGUCAUUUCUGCUCCUGGAGGUAACCCCAAUAAAACUCAUUGG